RNAcentral lists this non-coding RNA (48 nucleotides) under Schistosoma haematobium. The record is from RNAcentral. Lineage: Eukaryota; Metazoa; Platyhelminthes; Trematoda; Strigeidida; Schistosomatidae.
AUCCAACUGAUGAGUCCCAAAUAAGACGAAACGCGCUUCAAACUGGAU